CUUCUCUGCUAACCAGUUCUACCAUGUGGGUGCCAUGUUCUUUACGGAAAGGGAGCAGCCAUCUUCCCAACCAGUCCAGAAAGAUGACAUCAACUCUGAUCCAAAGGAAUGACAAGUACCUCCUGCGCACGUCUUUGCAUCUUUAUUUUUCUAUCAGAUGGAUUAGUGAAAAGUUGAGAGAUCCUCUCGUUACUAGUUGAUAGAUUCUAGUCUUUAGAUUAUAGAUCUUGUUAGUAUCUAGAAAUAUUUAUCCUAAAUUCCUGAACACAUAUGAAAGAAAUCAUGUUUUUCACUGAAUGAGUAUUCCAGUUUUAGUUGACUUCAUCACUUUUUAAGUUGUUAUAGUCAUAUAGAUUUAUUUAUCUAGCUGCAGGGGUGUGGAUAAUCGCCCACCUGGUGGUUUCCUAAGCUAUUUCAAUCACCCAUGGAGUCAACCACUUCCCCAGCCGAUCCCACCACAUUUAACUGAUGGAAAUAGAGGGAAAGGGAGCCCAGCAGUGUCAGUUUCUGCGUCUCAACCCGAGCCCUUGAUCAAUUUAGACAAUGAUAAGGAUGACAAAAAUGGUGCUAGGAUUGACAUACGGCUAAAAUGGAUGAAGCCGGAGGAAGUGCGCUUGGUGGGUGCAUGGUUGAACAAUUCAAACGAUCCAAUCAAUGGCAACGGCAAGAAGACUGAUCGGUACUGGGGAGAUGUUGCUAAUGAGUAUAAUAGUACCACCCCUAAAAGUAGAAGAAGAACAGCAAAGCAAUUGAAGGAUCACUUCCAAAAAAUUAAGAAAAAAGUCACUUGGUUCUGCAGCUCAUGGAAAGAGGCUAUAUCAAUUUGGCCUAGUGGUCAUUCUGAUGACCAGAUAAUGGAGAAGGCUGAAGCUAUCUAUGAGGAAUACAAAGAUGGUCCAUUUACGUUCAAGCAUUGUUGGAAAAUUCUACGUGAUGAACCAAAGUGGCAAGUGCAACUAGAGGAAGGGGCGCAGUCAAGCACUUGGCAUUUAUGAGAUGUGUGAGGGAGAGUAUAUUUGGCAAAACUGAAUUAGAUGCAAAUGGCAGCUCUUAAAAAGAAUCGGGUUCCUGAUGGGGGUUCUUCCUGAAGACCUGAAUAUCAUCAACGACUGCUGGUCAUCAAGAGAUAUGGCUAAAUAAAUUGAUAAACGAUGGAUGCUAGAUUUAUUACCAAGUCAUUAGUGUAAUAGCUGCUCAUGGUAGUAGCCUUCUUUUGUUGAUCAAGUUUCAGUUGCACUGCAGACCAUGUUUUAUACAUUAAGCUUUUUAGUUUGUGUGGGUCGUCCUUGGUCUAUCUGAUGAUAUGAACUUGGUUGUAAGAGCCAUUAUAUUUUACCAAGGAACAAUAUCGUUGCUUAU
Long non-coding RNA from Panicum virgatum (switchgrass), 1359 nucleotides. RefSeq lists it as uncharacterized. The record is from RefSeq and is a predicted model, not a curated record. The transcript has 4 exons. Lineage: Eukaryota; Viridiplantae; Streptophyta; Magnoliopsida; Poales; Poaceae.